UACGAAGGGGGCUAGCGUUGUUCGGAAUUACUGGGCGUAAAGGGCGCGUAGGCGGCCUUCUAAGUCGGACGUGAAAUCCCCGGGCUCAACCCGGGAACUGCGUCCGAUACUGGAAGGCUUGAAUCCGGGAGAGGGAUGCGGAAUUCCAGGUGUAGCGGUGAAAUGCGUAGAUAUCUGGAGGAACACCGGUGGCGAAGGCGGCAUCCUGGACCGGCAUUGACGCUGAGGCGCGAAAGCCAGGGGAGCAAACGGG
Molecule: ribosomal RNA, 253 nt
Filed under: uncultured bacterium
Lineage: Bacteria
Description: partial 16S ribosomal RNA
Rfam family: Bacterial small subunit ribosomal RNA
Source: RNAcentral